RNAcentral lists this long non-coding RNA (580 nucleotides) under Pectinophora gossypiella (pink bollworm). Its description in RNAcentral is "uncharacterized LOC126366719". The record is from RNAcentral. Lineage: Eukaryota; Metazoa; Arthropoda; Insecta; Lepidoptera; Gelechiidae.
GGAGAGAUCCAUCCGUUGUAAUACGAUUAUUUCGUCGUGAUUAUUAAAGAAAUCAUCGUAAAUAAGAAGAUUCUACCUAGUAAAAACAUAUAAAAGAUGACACUAGUUACGCGCAUGUUUCUACAUAACCUACAGCUUCGGAAUGAUAAUAUAGCCCUGCCUAACUAUGCAAGAACGAAACCCUACAAUGCUAGCAAGUCAAACUGCCUAUCGUCCUACAGCCCUAGCCCUAGCCAUACCUACACAGAAAAUAUAUAAAUAGAUACAUAGGGCGGGAUACCUGCACCAUGAGACCUAAGGCAACAGGCGGAUAGUGGAAAGGAGAAGGUGUAGGAAGGAUUUUCUUACUGCCAAUCACACAGACUCAUGUGACCGUGGUUAGGCUAAAGGUGUCUUGGCCACAGUAAGAGGAUACUGAAAGUGACACAAAGAAAAUAAUAUAAGCAUGCACAGUGAGAUAAAACAAAAAUGACAUGGACAUACACAGUGAAAUUAAAGUGAAAUAAUAAUAAAUAAAACAAGCAGAAUAUGACAACUGUACUUAUUAUAAAAUUAAAUAAUAUUAGAAUGUUGAUGAUAA